UACGUAGGGGGCAAGCGCUGUCCGGAUUCAUUGGGCGUAAAGAGCGUGUAGGCGGCCAGGUAGGUCGGUUGUGAAAACUGGAGGCUCAACCUUCAGAGGUCGACCGAAACCAUCUGGCUAGAGUCCGGGAGAGGAGAGUGGAAUUCCUGGUGUAGCGGUGAAAUGCGCAGAUAUCAAGAAGAACACCCGUGGCGAAAGCGGCUCUCUGGAACGGUACUGACGCUGAGACGCGAAAGCGUGGGGAGCGAACAGG
RNAcentral lists this ribosomal RNA (253 nucleotides) under uncultured bacterium. RNAcentral describes it as "partial 16S ribosomal RNA". It matches the Rfam family "Bacterial small subunit ribosomal RNA", at positions 524 to 776 of the family's 1533-position model. The record is from RNAcentral.